RNAcentral lists this ribosomal RNA (255 nucleotides) under uncultured bacterium. RNAcentral describes it as "partial 16S ribosomal RNA". It matches the Rfam family "Bacterial small subunit ribosomal RNA", at positions 524 to 776 of the family's 1533-position model. The record is from RNAcentral.
CACGUAGGGGGGCAAGCGUUGUCCGGAUUUAUUGGGCGUAAAGGGCUCGUAGGCGGUUCGACAAGUCGGGUGUGAAACCUCCAGGCUCAACCUGGAGUCGCCGCUCGAAACUGUUGUGACUAGAGUCCGGUAGAGGAGCAUGGAAUUUGUGGUGUAGCGGUGGAAUGCGCAGAUAUCACAAGGAACACCAGUAGCGAAGGCGAUGCUCUGGGCCGGUACUGACGCUGAGGAGCGAAAGCAUGGGGAGCGAACAGG